Molecule: RNA transcript, 6588 nt
Organism: Melospiza melodia melodia
Lineage: Eukaryota; Metazoa; Chordata; Aves; Passeriformes; Passerellidae
Gene: NINJ1
Gene name: ninjurin 1
Exons: 5
Source: RefSeq, a predicted model, not a curated record
CCGGCGGCGGGAGUGGCUCCGGGCGCGCUGCGGCAAGGCCGGGCCAGCUCCGGGAGCCGCUGCCCCUGGGGAACCUUCCCCUGCCCCGCCCGGAGCAACAGGGCCCGGGCGGCCGCCAUGGACUCCGGCAGCGAGACCCACGAGCUCAACGGCACGGCGGAGGGCGCGGACUCGGCGGCCGAGGAGCAGCGCAGAAGGUGGCAGUGGUUCCAAAGGAACAGACCCAUCAACAUCAACCACUAUGCCAACAAGAAGAGCGCGGCCGAGAGCAUGCUGGACAUCGCCCUGCUGAUGGCCAACGCCUCCCAGCUCAAAGCUGUCAUGGAGCAAGGGCCCUCCUUUUCCUUCUACGUCCCGCUGAUCAUUCUCAUCAGUCUGUCGCUCACCCUGCAAGUCCUGGUGGGAGUGCUCUUGAUAUUCCUUGUAAAAUAUGACCUUAACAACCCUGCAAAACAUGGAAAGCUGAAUUUCCUCAACAACCUUGCAACUGGACUAGUAUUCAUUAUAGUAGUUGUGAAUAUUUUUAUCACUGCCUUUGGAGUGCAGAAACCAGUUGCUGAGCCAGCAUCAAGACAGUAAGGACCAGUUCUUGCAGAUACCUGAGCUCACUUCCCAUUAGUGCAAAAGCAGAAGCUGCUGGGAACUGAGACCUGGAGCAUCCAUUUUAGAUGCCAUUUGCAGUUGAGCCAGCUACGCUGGACACAGUGGGGAAAGAAAAAUAAUUUGAAGAAGCUGGACACACCAAGCAGCUUUCUCAAGCUUCCAACACACCUGUAUACCUGAAAUUUUCCCGUGUGUUAAUAUUUAAAUUGUCUGGCAUCUAAGAGAAGGUUAGCUUUGCCCUAAGGAUGCUGUUUUUCUGGAAUAUUGGCAUUUCAAUUUCUGAAGAAACUUUUUUAUUUUUUCAGAGAAGUGACAUAAAUUCAUGAAACAAGGAAAUAGCAUCUGGUAGCAUUUCACAGGACUUUUCUUUUUACAUGCCUUUGGUUUUUGUGGCAAUUUGUCAUUUCAUGAUGGUAAGAAAUGUCAGGCCUUUGAUUCUGGUGUGGUCACAUUGUCCUUCAUUUCACAGCUUGGCACCAAGCCAUGCACUCUGUAGCCCAGCAGGGCUCUGGUUUGCAGUGUGUAAAGGUAGCUCUGCUUUUGCACAGCUUUUUGUUUUGCUUUCUUUUCCACUCUAGCUAAAGGAAAGAUGAGACAAAAAGAAAUAAGCAGCAUUCUUUUGCCCAGUUUUGUUCACAGGUAAUCAUUUGAAUUGUUUCUUCUGGACACACUUAAAAUUUCCUGCCCUUCAUGCACAGACACAAAUCACCUAAUUGUUAAUGGUUUCUUACCAUGCAUUGCUAUUCUGUGUAUUCUGUCCAUUAUAUGUAUUUAUUUGAAUCAUAGAGUAGUUUGCAUUCAAGGGACCUUUGAAGCUCAUCCAGUGCCCCCCCUGCCAUGGCAGGGACACCUCCCACCGUCCCAGGUGCUCCAGCCCUGCCCAGCCUGGCCUUGGGCACUGCCAGGGAUCCAGGGGCAGCCACAGCUGCUCUGGGCACUCAGCACCUUCAUUGUAAAAGGUUCUUUCUUAUAUCAGAUUUCUGGAAACUCUGUUACAAGUGCCACCUUUUCUAGGCUCUACUGGUAAACUGGAAGAUCCAGGGUGAACUUUACCUGUUAAACUGGAACCAAGUGCCUGUCAGCAGCAACUCAAAUGGCAAAAUGAACUGAGUUUUUCUAUCUAGUUUCCUCUCUCUCCUUCCCAUCAUUGAUUGCUGCAGUUUUGUUCCUUUUAUGAGUUUAUGGCUAAAAGCAAAAUAAAAUUUUAAAUUUUUAUUUUUAAAUAUAUAUAUAGAGUUAUAAGUAUCUUCUAGUCUCUUACCUGCUGGCUCAGGGACCUACACUUUUUCUAAAUACACUAUUGCUAAUAAUAGUGUAGGUUACAAUAAUUUCUUCAACAAAAACAUUUUAGUAAUUUUAUUUCCAAAGUAUCGUACCUACAAUCAGAAAAAUCUAAGUUUUCUAGAUUGCACUUAUAUGUAAAUGUAAGAUGUAGAUUUGUAUGAAUCAAUUUUCUCGGUGUCAAUUUUCAAAAGCUCCUUUGUACAUAAGAAUAGAAGAUUGACUUCAUGUGUCUCAUCUCAUUUACAGGUUUUGUUACUGACCUUUCUCUUUGGUUAUGUCUCAAAGCCCACUGAUGUACCAGACUUUCAUGUAUAUGUUCUGUAAGGAUUACUAACAGAAAACAAAUCAAACUCAUGUGAUUAGUAAUGGAAUAGAUAUUCUUUUUUUAUUUUCUAAUUUGUCUUUUGUUGCUUCAUUUCCACUGUUACAUGUAUUUAACCAGUAUCCAGCAGGCAGUGGUUUAAUUUUGUGGGCUAUACUAAUGUAAACAUAACUCAGAACAAGUUCUGAAGGAGGCAUGCAGGACAACUUCCUUCCUGUAUUUAUUUUUCACAAACCACCAACUGCUGUAGGACUCUUCGUGCCCACUGUCUGUCUGUCAUGGCUGUCACACUUUUGAUGCUGCUUCCCAUGUCUUUUAUUGCGAUUAAGUAAGAUUUGCAAAACAUUCUUAGACAUGAAAUCUGUAUUUUAAGUCUUUGAAGCCUUCAGAGUUCAUGUAUUUUUUAGAAGACAGAAGCAUCUGCAAGUUGGUUUCAAGUAUAAAUAAUUUAAUCACAGGAUUAUUAUUCUUUUAAGUCAGGUGCUGCUUUAAAAUCCAGGCAAAUAUCUCAGAGGGGCAGCAAACAAAUACAUAUGUUUGACUCAUUCUCUGGUUUGCUGUGCUUUUUCAGAGGUUUUGGUUGGAGGCAAAUAUCUCUUUUAAAAAGAGGUCAUCAAUAAUGAAGGGAGAUGAAUUUUCCAGGCUCUGUGGGGAGCAGUUCGUGCCAGGUCAGCCGUUUGCUCCUGUUUCAUAAGCUCUGGGCAGGGUGAGCACUGCUCACGGUCCUGCUCAUUAGUCCCUUCAGCAUGCAGAAUAGCCUGGGCUGGGAUUUUCAGCGUAGCUCUACUUACUGAAGCAGGUGACAACAACCAUAUUUACUGGAACUCACUCUGAGUAUUUGUCUUCUAAACCAGGUCACUGCUGGAGCUCGUUCUGAUGCUGAGUCUUAUAUAAAACGGGCUGAAGCAGAAAACACCAUCCUGGUUUCUGUAUCCCCUCAACUGCCAUUCAGUUGUUUGAAUUAACAACUUCUUUACCCUCAGUGAGUUUGCACAUGACACUCAGGUUGCUGGGAGUAUUGAUGUGCUGUCAGGCAGGAAGGCUCCAUAGUUUUAUCUGGAGAGGCUGGAUCAUAGGCCAGUGAUUGAGGCUGAACAAGGCCAAGUGCCAGGUCCUGUCCUUGGGUCUCAACACCCCCAGCAGCUCCAGGCUGAGCCAGAGGGGCAGCAAAGGCCCUGGGGGUGCUGUGGCAGUGGCUGAACAGGAGCCCAGGUGGGCAGGAAGGACCAGGGCACCUUGGGCUGCUCAGCACUGGUGUGGCAGCAGGGCCAGGGCAGUGCCCAUCCCCUGUGCUGGACAUGCUGGGGUCAGUUUUGAGCCCCUGACAACAAGAAAGAGCUGCAGGGGCUGGAGUGUGUCCAGAGAGGGGAACGGAGCUGGGAAGGGGCUCAGCCUGGAGAAAAGGAGGCUUGGGAGGGACCUUCUCACUCUGCACAACUCCCUGACAGGAGGGAGCAGCUUAGGGCUUCUGGCUCUGCUCCCAGGAAACAAGGACAGGAGGAGACAGAGUGGCUUCAAGCUGUCCCUGGGGAGGGUCAGGUGGGUGCUGGGAGGAAUUGCACAACACCAGUUCCUGGAGCAGGUGGUGUUUCUGAUAGGCCCAAGAGAAGCUGAGCCCAGGUACAUUUCUCAGGUCGUGGUGCAACUUGAAAAGGGUCUGGGGGAGGCACCACCAGCAGGACCCCACCAGCCAGGGCAUGAGCAUCUGCUGGGGGAGCCCAUUACUGUUCACAGGUGAUCAACAAGGCCGAACCAGAGCCAGGAGCUGAGACGUCCCUAGAGGAGGAAGUAAACUGAAAUAAGUGAGAGAAGGUACUCCAGGAAGAGAUAAAUAACAACAUGGUCAUAGCAGGCCUUAGGGCAGAGUUUCCAUCAGAGGCUGGGUGGCACCCAGGUGCUGCAGCAUGACAUGUCAGCUGUACGUGGAGUUUCACUCCUCUCCCCAUCACUGAGUAUUCCCAGCCUGACACUGCAACACGUCCAGCAGCGGUGGGAGGGCAGAGGGGAAGGAGCAUGGGCAGGACUGACCAAACAACUUGAGCUGAUUGAUAGCAGACAGCUCUUGGGCAUGUCAGGAGGCAAACACACAUUGUUGGAGGUACAUCUACAGCAAAGAGACAGGAGAAAAUGUGGUAUAUAAAGGCUUCAGCUGUUUGCAGGAAUUUCUUCUUUUCACACUUGAUCAAAUUAUUUUCACUGUAUGAAAUCAUGAAGUCACAGAGUCACUGAAUCAUUUAGGAUGGAAGAGAUAUCAAAGAUCGAGUCCAACUUUUGUCUGACUCCACCUGUAAUGCCCCACCUCAUCCCGCUCCUGAUGUUCAUGCAGUCCCUGGCUGUGCCAGUCACUGACGUGUCAGUGCAGGAUCGGGUGUGAAACACAGGAUACAAUCUUUUCAAAAUAAUAGCUGACCAAUAAUUAUCCAACUUCCUAAAAGGGUGGUGACAAAACAUAACCUGCCCUCCUAUUGGAUAUUAUGGGUAAUUUUGAAUUCACUUUUCUCCUCCUCCACAGUCUGUUGAAGAUUUUCAUGGUUCAUUUUAUCCCUUUGGGUUCUCAUAAUGAGAACUAUUUACUAACCUGGCUGCCUCCCCAAGAAGAAUGCCACAGCUACAAGUCAGGAACAGAGACUUAUCAAUAGUUCCUCAUCAGGCAAGUCAGGCUUUGUCAGAAAUGGAGAUGGCAAAAACUCCUUUUUCGUUCAGCCUCCUUUCUGAUGUUUUCCAUUCCUCUUUUUCCAGUCUUCCAGCCUAGAAGUUGUCCCACCCCCUUUUUACAUGGUACAAGUUUUAACAAGUUGAGAGGUGAGUGUAAAUAUGGUGCCAUGCUAGGAAGCACCACACCAAGAUUACUGAAACAUUGCAAAACAUUUUCACUGGUACCAAAAAUAUUUGAGAGUAAAUCAGCUUCAUCACCACCCAACAUUACCACAGAUUUCUGGCGUGAAGGAUGAAAAUAAUCUAAACUCUUGGGAAGGCCUAAUGUUUCAGAUUUGUUUUGGACUUGUGGAAGAUAUGGAGGGAGACAGCUAUGUCUCCUGAAAUAGGAAUCAGUUUUUUCUGUGCCAGAAAACAUGAUUCACCAGGCAUGCCAGGGAGAGCAUUGCUCAGGAAAGAGAGCCCUCAGGCCUCUCCAUCCCUUGUGGGGUUUCAAAUCCUGGCAACACGACUUGGGAACAUGACUGAACUUCACAAACUGUAUGAAGUGCACUAACUGGGGAACACUGGGAGCGAGCCACAAUGUGCCUGUGUGGGUCACUGUUCUCCUUCAUACUCCAUAAAAAUUCUUUCUUCUCCAUGCUAGUAGCAAAACAGGUUUGGAAGCCCCACAUCCCAGCUGCACUGGUAGGAUGCCUCACAGCCUCUUGAAGGGACCCUGGUUAUCACACAGAAGUCCUGCAACCUUCAAACCUGGUACCACUGAUAAUAUUUUGCUUAACUUGCAUGUCCUCUUCACUUGCAGACACAGGGUGUGAUGGAAUGAUGUGUCUUGUUCAUCUUUCCAGAGCCAGGACCAGCCUAGACUCAUCCAGGGCUGAAUUUCAUCCAGCUCAGAAUGAGGAAUUUACUUCCUACUUGUUUUCUUAUUGACUCUGAGAUCACCAAGAUGAGUUUCACUUGUAUCUCACAGGACUCAUAGCUUGGGAAUACCCUGAAAGAUAUCAUUGCAAUUCUUUCAUAGAAACCUGCUAUCUAAAUGAUUACCAUUAAUAAUAAUUUUUAUUUUGUGCUAUAAUUUUACCUGUUAUACCUGGACUGUGAAGUUGGUUCCAAUCUGAUGUUAGUUAUCUCCCUACCUCCUGGCAGAACAGAGUUCUUGCAAAGCAGAGCAAAGUAGCCAGGUUAAAUUGGCCGUGAGCCAGCUCCAGAGGCACAGGUGAAACAAAACCCAGCUCUAUGCAACCAUUAUGGACCAGGAAUAUUUAAGAGGCACAGGCAUCAUCUUUCCAGCCUUCACUGGGAGCUUUUAAAAUGAAUUAGCUCAGAGCCACAGAGGAAAAACAACGUCGGCUCUCUCAGUUUCUGCUGCAGCGGAGCGUUCAGCCCCGGGCACCCCGCAGGACCCGCUGAGGCACCCAGCACAGAGCAGCCCUGGGCAGCACCCGCAGGGCUGGAGCACCAGGACACCCCCAGGGUAGCUAAAGCCAGGCCUAAAAAGGAAAAAAAAGCCACCUGAGUGUGAUGAAAUAUUUUGCUAUGGAGAAGGUUUGCUGUAAAUCGUGCUGUGAGAACACGUCUCGCCUGUGAUUUAUCCAAGCUUCACGUGCAGUGGCACUCUGGCUGCUGGCACCCAACUUCACCUUUUACCAGUUUGUGAAGCACAGAGUCUGAAAGGAUUUUGCUUUACUAGACACAAUGCUAUUAAAGAUUUAUCAACAGCA